This 748-nucleotide long non-coding RNA is filed under the name Sus scrofa (pig). Its description in RNAcentral is "lncRNA (ENSSSCG00040018143.1)". The record is from RNAcentral. Lineage: Eukaryota; Metazoa; Chordata; Mammalia; Artiodactyla; Suidae.
CCUGGGAACGCUGCAGUAUAACUCCUUUGGCUCCACGUAGCCAGAAAGACUCACUAACUUGACUGUGCAGAUGAAGGUUCCCAUGUGUUUCCCUUCUCCUUCGCCCUCUCCAUUUAUCCAUGUGGUUAUACCGAGCCUCACACUGAAAUGGCUUCUAAAGACCAAAGAUUAAAAAAGUGCAAAACAUUCCCUGCGGGGUAUGUAUGUUUGUCUUUGUUAUGUGUCCAUCCGCGCUUCUGCAAAAUCUCCAAACAAGCGCGCCGAGAAAUCCAAUAUCUUUCCAGGGAUUUCCCUUCCCCGAGAGCUAAGUCUGGUGUUUCCUCAGAAGGGUCCUGCAGCCGUAGAGGCAAUACAAAUCUGCGAUUUUUUUUUUUUUCCCCUUUCUUCUCUCGCUGUCAGCCCUCUUCGCGAAACAGUCCCAGCGCAGUGUUUCCUAAUGAUUCCCUUGCGUCGGCAUUACAAGCGAUUGACCGGGAGCAAGUCCUUCCCCAGCUGCAGCAAGACCUUCUGUGGACCAGCGGCUCUGGCGUCCGACUGCGCCUGGGAGGAGAACAGCCCCGGAGCGGAGCAGCCAUCCUCUGAUCAUGCCCCGGAAGAGCCCAGCGCUGGUGGCUUCAGGUGGCUGCCGCCGCCGCUGCUAGUGCUGUUUCCGCCGCUUGUGCGAGGAGCAGAGACCGCCGAGCGGGGAGACUACUGGGCAGCGAGGCAUCGGACAUGUGUCAGCACAUCUGGGGCGCACAUCCGUUGA